This 379-nucleotide ribosomal RNA is filed under the name Zyzygomyces bachmannii. Its description in RNAcentral is "partial large subunit ribosomal RNA". It matches the Rfam family "Eukaryotic large subunit ribosomal RNA", at positions 1 to 374 of the family's 3401-position model. Lineage: Eukaryota; Fungi; Basidiomycota; Tremellomycetes; Filobasidiales; Filobasidiaceae. The record is from RNAcentral.
GGCCUCAAAUCAGGUAGGACUACCCGCUGAACUUAAGCAUAUCAAUAAGCGGAGGAAAAGAAACUAACAAGGAUUCCCCUAGUAACGGCGAGUGAAGCGGGAAGAGCUCAAAUUUGAAAUCUGGUGGACUUUGUUCAUCCGAGUUGUAAUCUAGAGAAGUGUUUUCCGUGCCGGCCAAUGUACAAGUCCCUUGGAACAGGGCGUCAUAGAGGGUGAGAAUCCCGUACUUGACAUUGAUCACCGGCGCUCUGUGAUACAUUUUCAAAGAGUCGAGUUGUUUGGGAAUGCAGCUCAAAAUGGGUGGUAAAUUCCAUCUAAAGCUAAAUAUUGGCGAGAGACCGAUAGCGAACAAGUACCGUGAGGGAAAGAUGAAAAGCAC